Molecule: ribosomal RNA, 253 nt
Filed under: uncultured bacterium
Lineage: Bacteria
Also listed under: 1 other name
Description: partial 16S ribosomal RNA
Rfam family: Bacterial small subunit ribosomal RNA
Source: RNAcentral
UACGUAGGUGGCGAGCGUUGUCCGGAAUUACUGGGUGUAAAGGGCGUGUAGGCGGGAAUGCAAGUCAGAUGUGAAAUGCCGAGGCUUAACCUCGGAGCUGCAUCUGAAACUGUGUUUCUUGAGUGUCGGAGAGGAAAGUGGAAUUCCCAGUGUAGCGGUGAAAUGCGUAGAUAUUGGGAGGAACACCAGUGGCGAAGGCGACUUUCUGGACGAUAACUGACGCUGAGGCGCGAAAGCGUGGGGAGCAAACAGG